Long non-coding RNA from Vespula vulgaris, 3026 nucleotides. RefSeq lists it as uncharacterized. The transcript has 10 exons. The record is from RefSeq and is a predicted model, not a curated record. Lineage: Eukaryota; Metazoa; Arthropoda; Insecta; Hymenoptera; Vespidae.
ACAAUGUUGUAUCACUCAUAUUUUCGAAAUUAUGUACUAUUUUUUUUGUUUCAGACUUCGAGUUUGCACUUUCGAGGACUUUGAAAAUCUAUCUCGAAGAGUGGACUUCGAAAUUUUCGCGGAUACCAUUCGUGGAAGAAUAAGGAAGAGUUAAUUCGUCUAUACAACAGUUUAUUUGAUUUUAGACUAAAUUUGCGAGGUGGGGAGACGGGCUCCAGAGACGACAACAAUAUCGGUCCUCUGACCGACUUCUACAGUCACUAGUUCAGUUGUGUUUUGGACUCCGACGAGGGAACUUAGAAAUUUUCGCGGAUACCACUCGUGCAAGUAUUAAGGAACAGUUAAUUCGUAUAUACAACAGUUUAUUUGAUUUUAGAUUGAAUUUGCGAAGUGGGGAUACUCGGCUUCGCAAAACAACAACAAUAUCGGUUCUCUGACCGACUUCUACAGUCACCAGUUCAGUUGUGUUUUGGACUCCGACGAGGGAACUUAGAAAUUUUCGCGGAUACCAUUCCUCCUAGUAUUAACGAGAAGUUUACGCAAGUACAAUGUUGUAUCACUCAUAUUUUCGAAAUUAUGUACUAUUUUUUUUGUUUCAGACUUCGAGUUUGCACUUUCGAGGACUUUGAAAAUCUAUCUCGAAGAGUGGACUUCGAAAUUUUCGCGGAUACCAUUCGUGGAAGUAUUAAGCAACGUCUAUACAACAGUUUAUUUGAUUUUAGACUAAAUUUGCGAGGUGGGGAGACGGGCUCGAGAAACGACAACAAUAUCGGACCUCUGACCGACUUCUACAGUCACUAGCUCAGUUGUGUUUUGGACUCCGACGAGGGAACUUAGAAAUUUUCGCGGAUACCAUUCCUUCUAGUAUUAACGAGAAGUUUACACUUCGAGUUCGCACUGUCGGGUACUUCGAAAAUCUAUCUCGAAGACGGGACUUAUAAAUUUUCGCACUCUUGUGGGACUUUGACAGUCUAUCUCCUGAAAUGGACUUAGAAGUUUUCGCACUCUCAUGGGACUUUGAAAAUCUAUCUCCAAGAGUGGACUUAGAAAUUUUCCCACCUUUGAGGGUCUUUGACAAUCUGUUUCCACGAGUGAACUUAGAAAUUUUAGCAGAAAGCCAUUUGAGGAAGUAUUAAUGAAGUAUCGACACUUCGAUUCUGCAUUCUCGUGGAACUUUGAAAAUCUAUCUCCCCCAGUGGACUUAGAAAUUUUCGCCCUCUCGUGGGACUUUGACAGUCUAUCUCCAGAUGUGGACUUAGAAAUUUUCCCACCUUUGAGGGUCUUUGACAAUCUGUUUCCACGAGUGAACUUAGAAAUUUUAGCAGAAAGCCAUUUGAGGAAGUAUUAAUGAAGUAUCGACACUUCGAUUCUGCAUUCUCGUGGAACUUUGAAAAUCUAUCUCCCCCAGUGGACUUAGAAAUUUUCGCCCUCUCGUGGGACUUUGACAGUCUAUCUCCAGAUGUGGACUUAGAAAUUUUCGCACUUUCGGGGGACUUUGAAAAUUUAUCUCCAAGAGUGGACUUAGAAAUUUUCCCACCUUUGAGGGUCUUUGACAAUCUGUUUCCACGAGUGGACUUAGAAAUUGUUGCUGGAUGCCACUUGUGCGAGUAUUAACGAAGACUGAAACCUAGUUGCAAUCGCGUGCGUAGCAAUGAAGAAAUCGAGGCUUUGUAUCGCUAAAAUAAAAAUAGAAGCAGUGCUUGUUCGUUCGCGUUUCGCGAUUUAAACCAUAAGUGUCUUUGCAUAGACUGCGUGCAAUGCAGUCUUUAGAGUCAGUGUUUGUUCGCGGAGUUUCUUGAUUUUUUGACAGUCGCACAGACUGUACUUAUAAAAUAUAGUAGAGUUUCGUUAAGUAAAUUCAGUGACCGUUCGUUAAUAAAUAACUACCGCGAAUUAGAGUCAGUGCAUCACUGAAGUGGAUCUCAACCAACUUCGAUGUCGACCUACCUCAUUUUCAACCAACUACAAAUCAUCCACCCUCAAUUUCGACCUAAGUCGCGGUCCAGUGUUUUGGAGCCGUCGCAGAACUUCUUAAGUAAUUAGAUCGUCAUUUCGAGGAGUGGACUUAGAAAUUUUUGCAAGACUUAGAUUCUGCACUUUCAGGGGACUUUAAAAAUCUAUCUCCAUGAGUGGACUUAGAAAUUUUCACACCCUUGAGGGACUUUGACAAUCUAUCUCCACGAGUGGACUUAGAAAUUUUCACAGGAUGACAUUCGAGCGAGUAUUAACGAAGAUUUAAAAACCUCAUUGCGGUCGCGCGCGUUGCAAUGUUGUAAUCGAGUGUUAGUAUCGCUAAACAAAAUUUAUCGCGAAGUAGAAGCAGUGUUUGUUCGUUCGCGUUUCGCGAUUUAAACCAUAAGUGUCUUUGCAUAGACUGCGUGCAAUGCAGUCCUUAGAGUCAGUGUUUGUUCGCGGAGUUUCUUGAUUUUUUAACAGUCGCACAGACUGUACUUAUAAAAUAUAGUAGAGUUUCGUUAAGUAAAUUCAGUGACCGUUCGUUAAUAAAUAACUACCGCGAAUUAGAGUCAGUGCAUCACUGAAGUGGAUCUCAACCAACUUCGAUGUCGACCUACCUCAUUUUCAACCAACUACAAAUCAUCCACCCUCAAUUUCGACCUAAGUCGCGGUCCAGUGUUUUGGAGCCGUCGCAGAACUUCUUAAGUAUUGUUGGUUGGGCUUGAAGCAAAGAAAAGACUAUAUCUUGAAGAAAUUCCCACAAACUGUGGCUCAAGAGGGCAGCUAUUGGAUUGUUGUUUUAUUUUCGAAGAAACCUGGACGACGUAACGCUCCGUCUUCCACCCCACAUUGAUACUCGUACGCGAAUAAAAUUAUUACAUAUGUUAUUCAUUUUUACUAUUAACGUAGAGUUGUAAAUUUUUAUUUUCUUUUUAUUCUCUUUUCUAAAGUCUUCUAUCUAAAGUACACUGAAUAAAAGUGCAUAUGGACUCUCGCGCACUCGCAUGCAUCUUUUCUUCCUUUCCUCCUUUUCUCUCCUCUUCUCUUUGUUCCUUCUUCUUAUUCUCAUC